Molecule: RNA transcript, 1533 nt
Organism: Cannabis sativa
Lineage: Eukaryota; Viridiplantae; Streptophyta; Magnoliopsida; Rosales; Cannabaceae
Gene name: inosine triphosphate pyrophosphatase
Exons: 9
Source: RefSeq, a predicted model, not a curated record
CUAAAAGGCAGAGUGUAACUUACCCAAAACAUUUUAAGAAUUUCAUAUCAAAGUAUAAAUUUUUUUAAAAGUGCGAUCUGGGUGCAUACUUCUAAACUGGAAUUUGUUGAUGCUUUAUGUGGAGAAGCGGCAGCUUGCUGUCUUGCUCUGGAUGUCGCGAAGCAUCAUGAUUUUAAGUUUAUUAUUGUCGUGAGUGAUUCGAGGGUAGUGAUCAAUGCUCUUUAUAGAGGAGGUUACCCGAUGGGAGAUUGAGAAUUAUGUCUUAUUUUGUAUUAGAUCCACUCUUUAUUUUGUUAGUUGUAUUUUUCUAAUAUUAGUAGCAACUGUAAUUUUAUUGCGGAUAAUGUGGUUAAGUGGGCAUUUACCCAGAGGUUCGGUUUUAUACCAAUUUUCUCUAUCCCGGAAGGAACACCUAUUUUGUAAUAACGACGAGAUCUAACUACGUUAUUAUAAAGUAAGCUUUUCUUAAUUAAAAAAAAAAAAGAUAAUUUUUUUUUUGUUUAUAUAAAGAUUUUCACCUAAUUUUGUUAAGAAAUUUAGUGUUUUUAUCACCGUUAAAAUUUGAGGACUUUUCAAGUAUAAAUGGCGGUGGCCGGCAGCGGAUUGGGUGGUGGUUUGUUACUCUCACGGCCGGUGACCUUUGUCACCGGAAACGCCAAGAAGCUCGAAGAAGUUCGCGCCAUUUUGGGCAACUCCAUUCCCUUUCAGUCCUUCAAGCUCGAUCUACCCGAAUUGCAAGGCGAGCCUGAAGAUAUCUCCAAAGAAAAAGCUCGUUUGGCUGCCCUUCAGGUGAAUGGGCCAGUGCUGGUUGAAGAUACUUGUCUCUGCUUCAAUGCUCUUAAGGGUCUUCCUGGGCCUUACAUCAAAUGGUUCUUGGAGAAGAUUGGUCAUGCAGGUCUCAACAAUAUGCUGAUGGCAUACGAGGAUAAAUCAGCUUAUGCGUUGUGUGUUUUUUCUCUUGCUCUUGGACCAAAAGCUGAACCUAUUACAUUUCUGGGUAAAACUCCGGGUAAGAUUGUUCCACCGAGGGGACCUACUGAUUUCGGAUGGGAUCCUAUUUUCCAGCCUGACGGAUAUGAGCAAACUUAUGCUGAAAUGCCAAAGGAGGAAAAGAACAAAAUAUCACACCGUUUCAGGGCACUUGCACAAGUGAAGUCUCAUUUUGCUGAAGCUGGAUACACAUUUCAGACCGACACCACUACUAUCUGAAUGGUUUAACCACCCUUGUCUGCCUCAAAUUAUAGUUAGAAAAGCUCUACCUCUUAAAAGGGACAAACAAACGUGUUGAAAAAUGCACCUAAACUCAUUUAUUACUUUACAAGAAAGAAAGAAAGAAAGGAAGAAAGGAAGAAAGGAAAAAGUGAUAAUAAUGAGCUGUGAGGCAUGCAUGGUGGUCUUGAACUUGGCAUGAAAUAUAUUAAUAAUGCUUCUUCUUUAUGUAUGUCUAAGUUCAGUUAUCUUCAACAGGAGUGUUAAUUACAAUCUCUUAAUCAAUUUCUACAUUUAAAAUCACACGUUGGAAAUUUUUUUCAA